RNAcentral lists this ribosomal RNA (301 nucleotides) under uncultured bacterium. Its description in RNAcentral is "partial 16S ribosomal RNA". It matches the Rfam family "Bacterial small subunit ribosomal RNA", at positions 509 to 808 of the family's 1533-position model. The record is from RNAcentral.
CAGUCGCCGCGGUAAUACGUAGGUCCCGAGCGUUGCCCGGAUUUAUUGGGCGUAAAGCGAGCGCAGGCGGUUAGAUAAGUCUGAAGUUAAAGGCUGUGGCUUAACCAUAGUACGCUUUGGAAACUGUUUAACUUGAGUGCAAGAGGGGAGAGUGGAAUUCCAUGUGUAGCGGUGAAAUGCGUAGAUAUAUGGAGGAACACCGGUGGCGAAAGCGGCUCUCUGGCUUGUAACUGACGCUGAGGCUCGAAAGCGUGGGGAGCAAACAGGAUUAGAUACCCCUGUAGUCCCUGUCUCUUAUACA